This 253-nucleotide ribosomal RNA is filed under the name uncultured bacterium. RNAcentral describes it as "partial 16S ribosomal RNA". It matches the Rfam family "Bacterial small subunit ribosomal RNA", at positions 524 to 776 of the family's 1533-position model. The record is from RNAcentral.
UACAGAGGUCUCAAGCGUUGUUCGGAUUCAUUGGGCGUAGAGGGUGCGUAGGCGGCGCGGUAAGUCGGGUGUGGAAUCUCGGAGCUUAACUCCGAAACUGCAUUCGAUACUGCCGUGCUUGAGGACUGGAGAGGAGACUGGAAUUUACGGUGUAGCGGUGAAAUGCGUAGAUAUCGUAAGGAAGACCAGUGGCGAAGGCGGGUCUCUGGACAGUUCCUGACGCUGAGGCACGAAGGUCAGGGGAGCAAACGGG